Molecule: long non-coding RNA, 3892 nt
Filed under: Podarcis lilfordi (Lilford's wall lizard)
Lineage: Eukaryota; Metazoa; Chordata; Lepidosauria; Squamata; Lacertidae
Source: RNAcentral
GCCAAAGUCUGGGAGCCUCAGCUUCACGAUCUGUCCUUCCAAUGAGCACUCAGGGCUGAUUUCCUUCAGAAUGGAGAGGUUGGAUCUUCUUGCAGUCCAUGGGACUCUCAAGAGUCUCCUCCAGCACCAGAAUUCAAAAGCAUCAAUUCUUCGGCGAUCAGCCUUCUUUAUGGUCCAAGCUCUCACUUCCAUACAUCACUACUGGAAAAACCAUAGCUUUAACUAUACAGUGGUACCUCGGGUUAAGUACUUAAUUCAUUCUGGAGGUCCGUUCUUAACCUGAAACUGUUCUUAACCUGAAGCACCACUUUAGCUAAUGGGGCCUCCUGCUGCCGCCGCGCUGCUGGAGCACGAUUUCAGUUCUCAUCCUGAAGCAAAGUUAUUAACUCAAGGUACUAUUUCUGGGUUGGCAGAGUCUGUAACCUGAAGCGUCUGUAACCCGAGGUACCACUGUAUGGACCUUUGUCGGCAAGGUGAUGUGUCUGCUUUUUCAGAUGCUAUCUAGGUUUGUCAUUGCUUUUCUCCCAAGAAGCAGGCGUCUUGUAAUUUUGUGACUGCUGUCAGCAUCUGCCAUGAUCAUGGAGCCCAAGAAAAUAAUAUCUCUCACUGCCUCCAUUUAGGCCCUUCUGUAGGGGGAGGAAUGGAGAGCAGGCACUACAACUCCCAGAAGACAAUGGGAGAGCUGGCUCUACCUCCUCCUCCUCGCUUUCUCCCCCCGCCCGUUCCGAGUCCUCCCCAUUGGCCGGCUCCUGCGACAAAACUUUGCUUGCGCCGUAUCUGGGCAAAGCCCAGGCCCCAUCAGCCAAUCGGAGGUCAGAGUCAGGCGUGCGGGGCGUGGCAGGUCAGAUGGAUGCUGGGAGUGGCGGUUGUUUCAAGAUGGCGGUUGUGGCUGCUCAUUGGGCUGUGUCUUUACCUCAGGAGGGACUCGAGGUCGCGGGGUGGCGAGAGGAGAAGGAAUAGCAGGGGGUGGAAAUGAUCUCUUUCAGCUUCUGCUUUCUGGAAGAAGGUCCAGGGUUAUAAAGACUAGGACUAGCCGCCUGAGAAACAGUUUCUAGCCAAAUGCGAUUUUGGUUUUAAAUGCAGUAUAAGGAGUUUCUGUGGGAGUAUAUUGUAUUUAAUUAUGGGGUAUCAGAAUUUUUAGGGGGCUAACCAGGCUGGGAUAGCUGGGAUAACAGGCUUGUUGGUUUUUGAAUGUCCUAUGUAGAUUUUUUCAAUUUCGUUGUUCUGCAUGGGACAAUGACAAUAAAGAUUAUCGUUUAAUUUUAAAAUACGUAAAUGAAAAUAAGGUUAGAAAGAUUUGCUGGAAACACGAUUUGAACUAGAAUACAAAAUUGGGAGGUGAGAGGAGGUCAUGGAAAUAAGUAAAGGGAGAAGGUUUUGUAAAGUUUUAAUCUGCUUUUGUUUUACUUUAACUUAAUGUAUUUUUAUAUUUUUUGUUAAGUCUUCUUUUUUAUUCUAUCUUAUUGUUCUUUUUAUUCGUUUAUCUUUUGCUUUGUUAGGGUUAAAAUUUUCUUUGUAUUUUGUAUGGUUUUUCUUCUUUUUUCUGUAACUUUAAAUUUGGAAUAAAUAUCAUUAAAAAAAAAAAGACAAUAAAGAUUAUCGUAUCAUAUCAUAUCGUAAUUUGACAGUGGGCCAGUGAUAAACAAUGGCAAAGGCUGUGGUGGUUCCUGAGCAUGUGCAGAGAGCCGCCUCCGUUGCCUCAGGAAAGACGCCCCGCCGAGUGCGGAGCCAGGCCCGGGGGUUACGGGGGAAGCCCCCACUCCCAGGGCGGGGGGACCUUGGCCUGCCAGCCUCUCUCUCUCGCCCCUCGCCCUACUCUGCAGGGGUGUUGUGAGGGGCCGGGGAGAGUCGCUUGAGAUGAGUGAAUGGAUUUUAGUUCAUGAACGAUGUGAGCGUAAAGAUAUCAAAGGGAGAACAACAGCAUAUUGUAUAUACUGUUAUGAUAUGAGAGCAACGCAGCUGCAAACUGCAAACUGGUAGCUUGUUUGCAUCACAUGAUGUGACUAGCUGUGGGAAAGAAUUUUCCCGGAAGUUCACAGGCUUGAAAACAUAUGGUAGCAGACGGAGGUCGAUGGAUCGUAAACAUAUACAUGAAUCACGAGGAAGGGAGUAGUGUACUGUAUAAGGAACAGUAUAUGAAAGUAAUUGCAUAAACAUGUGCUGUUUUGUUUUCCAUGUAAUCAUUAUCUGCAUAUGCUGUUCCUUACUGUCAUCCUCAUAUACUUUCUUCUUUCCCAAGAUUCAUGUAUAUAUAAUCUGCUGUUGAUUUCUGUUUGGUACUAAUAUGCUCACAUCUUUUUUGAACUAAUUUGCAUACAUAGGUCUUCGGCUGAUGUAUUUAAACUAAAUCUUUCCAACUAGAUUUUAGUCUCUGUUUGGUUGCCCCCCUCUGGCCAUGGGAGCAGAGUAAGAUCCUUCCUUUCAGCAUCUGGAAGAGAUGGUGUGCGGAGAACAACUUCUUGGAAUGACUUUGGAGCAACGGGUUAAAAUGAGAUUGGGGGUCUGUUUAUAACUUUGGGGAGAGGGCUAGAAGUAAAAGAGUUCAAAUGAUAACUUAGGGAUACAACCUUUUCAAGUCCUUUAGGGAGGCUGGAAAAAUCAUGGCGUGCUUUUAGGCACCAUCAUCUCAUUUUCACAGGUUGGCAGCCAGCCUUUAGGUACUCCUCCUAGAGCUAGAGAAAUGGCUUAAAGCUGCCAUUUAGCAACAUUUGAUCUCUAGCUGCUCAUAUUUAUAUGUUUAUUUGCUUACAUUUAGCCUUCUCUUCCAUCAUGGAGCCCAAAGUAGCGUGCAUGCACAUGCGGUUCUCAGGCAGUCUCCCACCCAGCACUAACCAGACCUAGACCUGCUCAGCUUCCCAAAGGUGGUGGCAUCAUGUUCCUUCUGGCCCUAUCCUGGGAGUAGAUCAAACAGUGAAUAAUUUCAUUGUAUGCACUGACUUCCUGACAAAUUAGAUGCGGGCUUUUGAGUUUCAUUCGCCUGCCUAGCCAACUCCCAAUUGACCCUUCCUUAUUCAGAGGUAUAAGAGAAGGUGAGGCAGAGUAUGUUGGCCUACUUUGACCUGCUUUUAUAUUAUGUUUUUACUUUAAAAAAAUAUCGUCAUGGAUAAUUUUAACAAGAUAACACAGCUGACAGCAAGUCCAACAUGAUCUCUGCUCCCAUUAUGUAUAUACUUUAUUUACAUUAUAUUUGGUGAUUUAUGAUCCGGCAAACCUUCACCGAAGACGAACCAAGAAACUAUUAAUGGAUUGAAUUUACUAUUGGAUUAUAAUUGUAAAUGGAAUGCAACAGGGACUUUACAAGAACUUUAGAAUCUACCUAUGGAGUUCUUCAAACGAAAGACUGUGUAAAAUACUGUGAGGUUUUGUGGCACUGUCUCCUAUGGAGAGCAUUAAUUUGGAUUUAUAAUUGCUUUGGUGAGACAUCAGCUUGUUAAAAAUGAAGGGAAGAUUAAAGAAGCGAGAGCUGAAUGUCAGUCCUAUGCCAUGGCCUGAUGCCAGUAUACUUUUGGCUCAGAUAAACAAGAUGGCGAUGGCUCUGACGCAGUUUGGAAAAACAGCUCUUCAAGGGAGACAACCCGCAAGAAGGACAAUGGAUUAUAACAGGAAAGGGAGUACAAAGGAAAAAUAAUUUACACAGAAAACUACAGGUGUUAAAUCCCUCUUGCAAGUUAAUGGAGAAGGAUUUUUUGAAUACGAGUGAAGUCAUUACACCAGUGGCUGCAAAAACAGAAGAAAGGCUCAAGAUCAGAAUUGGUGUAUUUGGAUUAUAUAUGAGAUUCUGUGCAGGAUUUAGGAAUAACGAUCUCCGGAUGAUCAGAACAUGGGAAGUCACCCCAUUUGUUUAAUUUGGGAUGUAUAAUUGGCUUUAUAAAUUGUAUUAUGAUUUGGCAUG